UGAGGGAAUAUUUGGGGUCAAUGGGCGAGAGCCUGAACCAGCCAAGUAGCGUGCAGGACGACGGCCCUAUGGGUUGUAAACUGCUUUUAUAAGGGAAUAAAGUGGGUCACGUGUGACUUUUUGCAUGUACCUUAUGAAUAAGGACCGGCUAAUUCCGUGCCAGCAGCCGCGGUAAUACGGAAGGUCCGGGCGUUAUCCGGAUUUAUUGGGUUUAAAGGGUGCGCAGGCGGCGCGCCAAGUCAGCGGUCAAAGUUCCGGGCUCAACCCGGUGUCGCCGUUGAAACUGGCGUGCUCGAGUGCGUGCGAGGAAGGCGGAAUGCGUUGUGUAGCGGUGAAAUGCAUAGAUAUGACGCAGAACUCCGAUUGCGAAGGCAGCUUUCCAGCGCGCUACUGACGCUGAGGCACGAAAGCGUGGGGGAUCGAACA
RNAcentral lists this ribosomal RNA (426 nucleotides) under uncultured Prevotella sp. RNAcentral's name for it is "bacterial SSU rRNA". It matches the Rfam family "Bacterial small subunit ribosomal RNA", at positions 354 to 774 of the family's 1533-position model. Lineage: Bacteria; Pseudomonadati; Bacteroidota; Bacteroidia; Bacteroidales; Prevotellaceae. The record is from RNAcentral.